This 253-nucleotide ribosomal RNA is filed under the name uncultured prokaryote. RNAcentral's name for it is "partial 16S ribosomal RNA". It matches the Rfam family "Bacterial small subunit ribosomal RNA", at positions 524 to 776 of the family's 1533-position model. The record is from RNAcentral.
UACGUAGGCAGCGAGCGUUGUUCGGAAUUACUGGGCGUAAAGUGUGCGCAGGCGGCUAAGCAAGUCGAGUGUGAAAGCCCCGGGCUUAACUUGGGAAUUGCGCUCGAAACUACUUGGCUGGAGUGUGGCAGAGGAAGGUGGAAUUCCACGUGCAGCGGUGAAAUGCGUAGAGAUGUGGAGGAACACCAAUGGCGAAGGCAGCCUUCUGGGCCAACACUGACGCUCAUGCACGAAAGCGUGGGGAGCAAACAGG